UCUACACAAACAUAUAUCACCGUGGCUAUGUUUUCCUAUAUUCCUGAUAGCUCCACUCCACCCAAGCAAACUUGUCGUUUGCAUUGUCUUGCAUGUCCAAUACCUCUCUAUUGGCCCUCUGCGAAAGGAACUUGCACGUGUAAAAGUACAGAUCCGUUUGCUUCUGGAGUCGACCCGUAGCCAGCAACUCGCUCAUGCAUGUCUUCG
Molecule: long non-coding RNA, 207 nt
Filed under: Olea europaea (common olive)
Lineage: Eukaryota; Viridiplantae; Streptophyta; Magnoliopsida; Lamiales; Oleaceae
Description: long non-coding RNA (OEUR_LNC013998)
Source: RNAcentral